UACGGGGGGAGCGAGCGUUGUUCGGAAUCACUGGGCGUAAAGGGCGCGUAGGCGGUCAGGUAAGUGAGAUGUGAAAUCCUCCGGCUCACCCGGAGACAUGCAUCUCAUACUGCUUGGCUAGAGUGCAGGAGAGGAAACGAGAAUUCCAGGUGUAGCGGUGAAAUGCGUAGAUAUCUGGAGGAAUACCGGUGGCGAAGGCGCGUUUCUGGCCUGUUACUGACGCUGAUGCGCGAUAGCUAGGGGAG
RNAcentral lists this ribosomal RNA (245 nucleotides) under uncultured bacterium. RNAcentral describes it as "partial 16S ribosomal RNA". It matches the Rfam family "Bacterial small subunit ribosomal RNA", at positions 524 to 768 of the family's 1533-position model. The record is from RNAcentral.